UACGGAGGGUGCUAGCGUUGUUCGGAAUCACUGGGCGUAAAGGGCGCGUAGGCGGCCUGCUAAGUCGAACGUGAAAUCCCCGGGCUUAACCCGGGAACUGCGUCCGAUACUGGUGGGCUUGAAUCCGGGAGAGGGAUGUGGAAUUCCAGGUGUAGCGGUGAAAUGCGUAGAUAUCUGGAGGAACACCGGUGGCGAAGGCGGCAUCCUGGACCGGUAUUGACGCUGAGGCGCGAAAGCUAGGGGAGCAAACGGG
Molecule: ribosomal RNA, 253 nt
Filed under: uncultured bacterium
Lineage: Bacteria
Description: partial 16S ribosomal RNA
Rfam family: Bacterial small subunit ribosomal RNA
Source: RNAcentral